RNAcentral lists this transfer RNA (89 nucleotides) under Candidatus Woesearchaeota archaeon. RNAcentral describes it as "tRNA-Ile". It matches the Rfam family "tRNA". Rfam says of the family: Transfer RNA (tRNA) molecules are approximately 80 nucleotides in length. Their secondary structure includes four short double-helical elements and three loops (D, anti-codon, and T loops). Further hydrogen bonds mediate the characteristic L-shaped molecular structure. tRNAs have two regions of fundamental functional importance: the anti-codon, which is responsible for specific mRNA codon recognition, and the 3' end, to which the tRNAs corresponding amino acid is attached (by aminoacyl-tRNA synthetases). tRNAs cope with the degeneracy of the genetic code in two manners: having more than one tRNA (with a specific anti-codon) for a particular amino acid; and 'wobble' base-pairing, i.e. permitting non-standard base-pairing at the 3rd anti-codon position. The record is from RNAcentral. Lineage: Archaea; Nanobdellati; Candidatus Woesearchaeota.
GGUGCGGUGGCUCAACUCGGUACAGCGCUGAGCUGAUGCCUCAGUGAGACAGACCACGUCUCUUGCGGGUUCAAAUCCCGCCCGCACCG